UACGAAGGGGGCUAGCGUUGUUCGGAAUUACUGGGCGUAAAGCGCACGUAGGCGGAUAUUUAAGUCAGGGGUGAAAUCCCGGGGCUCAACCUCGGAACUGCCUUUGAUACUGGGUAUCUUGAGUAUGGAAGAGGUAAGUGGAAUUGCGAGUGUAGAGGUGAAAUUCGUAGAUAUUCGCAGGAACACCGAUGGCGUAGGCAGGGUACUGGCUUAUUCCUGACACUAAGGCACGAAAGCGUGGGGAGCAAACGGG
Molecule: ribosomal RNA, 253 nt
Filed under: uncultured bacterium
Lineage: Bacteria
Description: partial 16S ribosomal RNA
Rfam family: Bacterial small subunit ribosomal RNA
Source: RNAcentral